Molecule: microRNA precursor, 90 nt
Filed under: Bigelowiella natans CCMP2755
Lineage: Eukaryota; Cercozoa; Chlorarachniophyceae
Description: miRNA EPrBNAG00000013693
Source: RNAcentral
UAACACCGAUGAUGAUGAUGAUGGUGAUGAUGAUGAUGACUAUCAAACAUUCUUGUAGCAUCAUCAUCAUCACCAUCAUCACCAUCUUAU